This 265-nucleotide ribosomal RNA is filed under the name uncultured archaeon. Its description in RNAcentral is "partial 16S ribosomal RNA". It matches the Rfam family "Archaeal small subunit ribosomal RNA", at positions 717 to 982 of the family's 1478-position model. The record is from RNAcentral.
ACACGACUACAUUAGAUACCCCGGUAGUCCUAGCCGUAAACGAUACUCGCUAGGUGUCGGCCACGGUGCGACCGUUGUCGGUGCCGUAGGGAAGCCGUGAAGCGAGCCACCUGGGAAGUACGGCCGCAAGGCUGAAACUUAAAGGAAUUGGCGGGGGAGCACAACAACGGGUGGAGCUUGCGGUUUAAUUGGAUUCGACGCCGGAAAUCUUACCGGGACCGACAGCAACAUGAAGGCCAAGCUGAAGACUUUGCCGGAUUAGCUG